AGCAAUUGGUUCCAGUGAAAAAUCAGUUAAGGAAAUUUUUCAAAAUGGAAGGAUAGUUUUUGUUUUGUAAUGAGGGUUUGCCAAUUAGUCACAAAUGAACUUGAGCACAUUUUCUUGAUAAUCAUGAAGGAUGAUGACUAAAUGGAUCAGCCACACAUAUUUUAUAGUUUGUACCCUGCAGUGUGGGUCUUUACCUACUGCGUUCCAAGUACUUACAAAUUAAGUUGUUAAUGACUGAUCAAUAUUUUAAAGCUAAGUGUCACAAGAAACAAUUAGAUUACAUAAUUGAGUUUUAGCUAAUGUGAGUUUCUGCAGAAGUUCACGUGCUAAAAUAACAUUUCAACUUUACACUUGUCUUCUGCUAAGUUGUUUUAUUUUUCUCUUUCCCUCUUCAACAUCCUGAUCAGAUCUCCAAAUUUCCAAAUCAACUUUCAUUGUUCAAGACUCAGUGUAGAUUUCACAUACCAGGGCUGCUGUGACAAAUAACCACAAACUCGGUGACUUACGUCAGAAAUGUAUUUUCUCACAGUUUGGGAGGCCAGAAGACUGAAAGCAAGACAUCACCAGAGUUGAUUUCUUCCAGAGGCUCUUCGAAUCUGUUUCAUGCUUCUCUUCUUGCCGCUGGCUGAUGGUGAUUUGUGACAGUUUUAAGUUCCCAGAAAUGUGUGGAGACUGGCUGGCUGUCAGGAAGACAUACAAGGAGACUUUUAUGUUGGCGAUUUACAGAAACUCAGAUGCAACUUAAUCUUUCAGGUGUAAAAACUUGAUCUUGUUGGUGAUCCAGAAAUCAGACUCAAGAAUCAUGACUCAUACUUGUUAAAAGAGACAUAACAACAAAAAAUAAUAAUAAUUUAUUGAGUAAAUGGGUCAUAUUGCUCUUUGAUGAGAAUUUUGGCAAUAUUUAUUAAGAAACUUAACUGUAUUGAUAUACAUUUAUUUAUAAAUCUGUAUAGUGAGGAGACCAGAGACCCACACUUACAUAGAAUCAUGUUAAUUUAUAGUUGUGUGUGUUUAAUUAGGAGUAUUCAUGUUUACCAAAAAUUUUUAUAACAGAAAAAAAUUAAAACUGCUAAGUGUUCAAACAAGAG
Long non-coding RNA from Panthera uncia (snow leopard), 1088 nucleotides. RefSeq lists it as uncharacterized. The transcript is spliced from 3 exons. The record is from RefSeq and is a predicted model, not a curated record. Lineage: Eukaryota; Metazoa; Chordata; Mammalia; Carnivora; Felidae.